This is a long non-coding RNA of Ceratitis capitata (Mediterranean fruit fly), 5749 nucleotides long. RefSeq lists it as uncharacterized. Lineage: Eukaryota; Metazoa; Arthropoda; Insecta; Diptera; Tephritidae. The transcript is spliced from 3 exons. The record is from RefSeq and is a predicted model, not a curated record.
AGUCGAGGCGAAUGAGAGUGAAAAUUGCAAACUAUCACAGCAAGCAAUGACAAAAACAAAAACAAAAAAGAAUAUGGGAAAAAAGUUCUCUAAGUACAUUGAGAGCAGCAGCAGAAGCAGCAGCGGCAGUAGCAGGCGACGGUGACAGGAGGGGCCACGAAGGCUAUUCCCAGUUUCGCCCGAAUCGGUCGCUAAGAGUAGCAGCAAGCAGCGAGCGGCAAUCAGCAACAGCAGCGCGGUAGAAGAGUAGAAAACUACGAAUUGGCGAACGAGCAAGCAAGCCAGUCAAACCCAAAGGCAACAACAAUAUUAGCAACUAGUACCUACAACAGGAACAACGGGCGUGCAAAAUAACAGCAAAAACAACAGCAACAGCAACAGCAACAGCAGACAUACAGCAAUGCUCUUGAAUUGACGAUAGAGUGGCAGUAAAUUGACGACAGCAACGCUAGCAACAUCAGCAGCGCUGUUAACCACAACGUCGACGCUAUUAAAACCGAAUGUAUAAACGAAUUGGCAACGAAGGCAAUGACAGCGAAGGCGGCGACGACGCAACGACACACUGAGAAGGCGAUGAAGGUAGAAAAUUGAACUUUCCAUUUGGUCUGCUUGCGACGACAGCGGCAUUGAGAACUGAAACUUUUGUGUGAUCAUACCGCAUCGCGGCUGAGACGACGAAACGGAGCGCUGAAAAAAAUUUAAAAUUUGGUAAAAAAGUGUUUAGAAAGUAAUUAAAAGUAUAGAAAAAAGUAACAACAACAAAUAUUAAGAAAAUAAAUGUGUUAAAUUUUCUAAACUGAAAUAUGUAUAUAUUGUAUAAGUGGAAAACGCCAAAAAAAAAAUACAAUAUUAUGAAAUUCUUUCAACUAAUGCGCAGUUCUCAUAACAUUUCUAAUGAAAAACGCCAACACUACUUUUUACAAAUAAUAUGUAUGUACAUAUAACAAUUAAAACUUUUGGAAAGGAAAAAAAUAAAAAAAACUAAUAGGGGCUCAUUAGUUGUAUCAAAAAAUUAUCACAAUAAAAAAAUUUCUUUUCGGAAGUCAGAAAAAAAUAUUGAAAAUUAACUAAAAGUUCAAGUUAAUCUUGAAAAGUGCUUAAAAUUGAACUAUAUAAAAUAUGCAUGCAAUCGAACAAAAUAGUGAAGUUCACCAAAUAAAUUACCCAGAAAGGUGCCAAGCGAUUAUUCUAAAAAAAAUCAUCGGCAACGAUUCAUAACGUUUGUCUAACAACCCUUGGCAAGCGUUAGAAGUUCCACCAUGGCGGACGCAAUGGAAAGCUUUUGGUGCUACGAAAUGUGGCAGCAGCAGCGGCAAAUAUGAUUAUGUAUAUACAUAUAUACUUUAUAGCAGUUUCCCAGCUGCAGCAGACAAGAAAAUUCAAUUAGAAGUAAGCAACUAACAACAAGAAGCGAAAGGAAAUGCUAUGAACACGUAAAAAUCUAUUGGCACCGAGAAAAAGAAGGCGUGAGUGGCUAAGGAAGUACAUAUGUAUAUACAUACCUACAGAAUAUGAAUGACAUGAAAUAGAAGUAAAGGGAAACAGAACGUCGACAGCGACAGAAGGGCAGUGCGGACGAGUAAAGGGUGUAGAUAGAAGAAGAGAAGCGAUUUGAAAGGAAAUUUGUGGUGACUUAGCGCAAAGGGCAAGUGGGAAGUGUGGCGGUAGCAAUUAUUUAAGCAGCCAUUACAGUACACAUACUCGUAUACAUAUAUACAUAUUGUAUAUGCCCUGCCGUUUCCACAAUCUCUCACUAUUUCAUAUGCUGUGUGUAUACUUUAACACACACACACACACACACAACAAUGCAAUUACAAACACAUUGCCAUACAUAGAUGUUAUUUACAUUCAUAUGCAUACAUACAUAUGUAUAUGCACGUCACCACAACAGUAACAACAAAAGCAACUAACAACGACAACUUGUAAGUGCAUGCAAAUGCAUUAGGCUGCCAGCGAAACGGGUUGGUGGUGGUGGUUGGCCAAUUGCGGUUGUGUUAGAAAAGGAAGCAACAAUAAUAACACUAUAUAUAUAGAGUGUAUAUAUAUGUAUGUACAUACAUAUGUAUGUCGUUGAAUAACAAAUAUGGCGGACAUGCGCAAAUUGCAUUCGAACUUGAACUUGAAAUUUAUUUCACGACGAAGAAAGCGAUUGCAACGGCAACAGAGCGGUGAGAGAGAGAGAGAGCGGCCAGCGUUUGCAGCUACAGCUACAGCUACAGCUACAACAGCAACAGAAAGUGAACCCGAAACAGACACGUCCAUGCAAUCCCAACGUCCACACUACACUCGGCCAAGGAACCCAUAGGACAACAGAAUACAGGAGUACAAGGACACGAGCGGUUGCAUAACAAUUUGUUGGCAGUGAAUUUUUUUGGUUUAAAGUGGAAAUACAUAUGUUAAGCGAUUGCAUCAGCAGCUGGUGGCUGGCAAGAAAAUCGAAGUCAAAUUCAUUUGCAAGUUUUUCGGGCAACCCAAACAGGUAAGUGCAUUUCUUUCCAUUGAGAUAUGUGUAAUGUGAGUCUUACAUUAUACGUAAAGGUCAAAGGUUAGCGCAAUGCUAUGUGCUUAGUGUUCUAAAUUUCGGUAUAAAUAAAUAAUGUCAGCCGAUUGUAGAGUGCAACAGAAAAUUAAAAUUGUGUUGGCGUUGAAUUAAUUGUGGAAGAAAAAGCUUCACACGUCAACAGAGACGAUGCAAUUCAGUCAUCAUCGUUGUGAAAAAAACCGUAAUAAAUUUCACUUUUUAAAAGUUUAUAUAUGAAGGGUGUGUGUUUGUGUGUGUGUUUGCAUAUAGCAAAAGCACGAAACAGCGAAACAGGAAAUACUAAAAAAUAGAGAGUGAGAGAAAAAACUAUCGCGAAUCAGCAGAGACACUUUGUUUACGAUAUUUUAUGUGAACGUUAAAGCUCGCUCUCACAUAUGAGAGGGUGAUUCACUUACAUGCAUAUAAAUUCAAGCUUUCACACACGGUUGCCACCCUUCAAAAUUACAGGUAUAUAAAAAAUUGCGUAAUAAUUCGUUCGUAGCAUUUAAUUUUGUUAACUUUUUCAUCAAAUUUCACACUUAAAUGCAAUUCAAAAUAAUUUAAAUAACUUCAGAGCGCGUAAUUUUCAUACAAACAGUUUGCAAAAUGGAAAAUUUAGCUGUAUCUAGUAAAAAUUGGCACAUAUUUUAAUGCACAAUAAUAACCUGAUAAUGAAAUAGCUUUUCAAUUGCCAUUAUUUAGAUUUCAAUUAUCUUCCUUGUAUUGAUGGUAAACAAAAAAAUUAUGGUUACUAAGCGAGUUAUGUUCAUAGUAUAAAUAUAUUAUUGUAUAUGAUAUAUACAUAUAUAAUUGGCGUUUUGUAACCGCUAUUACGAUUUUCGGGCGAGCUCCUCCUCCAAUUUGUGGUCUGCGUGUUGAUGUUCUUUGCAACCUACUUAUGGCUGAUUGUUUUUGUUUUAUAAGGAGCCUGUAUUUCAUGUCAUGUCAGAAAUAUACACAGAGGAAGAAAUACACUGCGACCGCAAUGAAAAAAUUUAACUUAUUUUGUAUUUAAAAUCGUUUUUUAAAACUUCUUGGCUUUGGUUGGAACCAUGACUCGAACCCUGGCCAUCCGAAUAACAGCACGCAAUGUUAAUCACUCUGUUGUCGCUGCCGUCUGGUAGUUUUUCUGAGGUGAUUGGCAAUGCGCUUAUGUGCUCGGUACGACAUUAGUGAAUUUCUGACACGUAAAGCUCAUAUUUCCUUCUAUAACACCGUCCGCACCGAUUUUUGACACACGGAAAAAAUUAAACAUUUUCGGAAACAGUGAAAAAUGAAUCCCUAGUCUGGCCAUUUUGCUAGGGCAAGUCGUUUAUGGUUGUAAGCGGUGAAAACCAUCCCUAAAUUGAAAGUGAUUUUUUUAAAUUAUUAAUAACUCAUAGCGACCCCAAAUGCUGAUAAUGAUGUCAGAUUUUCAAUACUCAAUAUUCAAAAAUAUCAAAAUAUUCCAAACUUCAAUUUAUCAUUUUAACAUUACAAAAUGAGCAAUGACAUGGUUAGUUUUUCAUUUAGGCUUUGCUCCGGAAAGCAAAUAUCAAUCAUGUACAUAUAAAAUAUGCAUAAGCUUUCAACAGAAAUUUUCAUUACUUAAAGAAUAUUUUAGGUUAGAAAAAUGCUAUAAAAAUUUUAUGCGCCUUUCUGCGGCUUUUAAAGAUUUUUUUACUAAACAAGAAAUAAGUUCUUGUAUUAACACCGUAAAAGCAUGGAAAAAGAUAAAUCCAUGUCCAUUACAUUAGGCCGAUAAAUAAUUAUUUGUUGAAAGAUUUCAUCAAAUUCAUAAGUUUUCCAUACAAUUUCCAUUGCGUCUGUGUGGCAACUUAGUCCAUGAAAAGCUUUUCCCUUAUUGAGUUGUAAUUGCACAAAGUCAAUAAACAAAACAUAAUUAAACUUAACCACCUUCGGCUCUUAAAUAUUUAUAUGAAUCUGCCAUAGGCAUUUUUUUUACACAGUUUUCCGUAAAUUUUGGCACUGAUGCCAAGUGGCAAUCAUGCCUGUGUUCAAACUACUCUAAAGCUUUCACUUUGUUGAGCUUUUAUCGCCUUAUGUCUCCUUAUCUCUGCGCUUUUGUACAAAUUCCAACAUUCGCCUCGCGCUGACUACUUGUGUGGGAGGCAACAACUUUUACCUCAAUAUAUACAUAUACGUAGAUAUGAGUGUGCGUGUAUUGAGCGCCUAUUUGAAGGCUACAACCAUACAUACAAACGCCUGUACGCCUUUCGUUAGGCAGCGUCAAAAGCCGAUAACAGCAUUUUCCACUUUUACGCAGCACACCUACAGGGAUAGGAGCCUGAUUUAUUGGGCAUUCUUCACACAGAAUAUUCGAUGCCGUCAAUGUCAAGUGUGAAAGCUAUUGAAAAAGAACUGUUAAAUAAAAUUAUUAAAAACAAUAAAGUGUUUUUAAAUUAUAAAUUUUAAAGCCAAUAAAAAAGAGUGCUUUUUAAACCUGGCAAAUUUCAUUUUUAGCCCCACCUACUAUAUACUCGUAUAUAGAUAUAUAUAGAUAUUUACAGCGCUGUGUGCUGAGCAAUUGCAAGUUAACCUUUGAUCUUUGCGCUGACAGUAAGUGAUUCACAUCUUUAUGUAUAUUAAUCUACGCGCAGUUAAUGUCAUAUGCGCCGUGACGCAUUCUGAUAUACAUAUACAUAUACUUACAUACGUGGUAUAUCGUAUAUGUAAUCUUAUGGCAAUAACGACAACGAAAACUCUUUACAUAUUUAACUGGAACUAUGAAAUGUGAUAACUAUUUACUUAAAUACAUACAAAUAUACAUAUGUAUGUGGUAUAUAUUAGUUAUAAAAAGUGAUGAAAUUCCGUAUGUAUUCUUCAAUAACAACAAAUGAAAGUGGCUGCGAGUAUUAAAACCAACACAAAGAAAUGCAAACGCAUGAAAAUUGAUUAACUACCAAAAAUAAACUUGGCAGUAACAGUGAAAUUAUAAUACAUACAUACAAAAGCAGGAUUGCCUAAAAACAGUAUCCUUACUCUGGUUUCUACAAUCAACAAUAAACGCCUACUAUUGAACGUACUCUGACGUAUUUUCAUUUUGUUGUUGUGUACCUAUAUAUAUGCAUGUAUAUUCCUUCUUUUGUGUAACAGUGUGUGGGUGUUGCAGCAGCCAAGGUACCUCGAAAACCCCGCGAAACAGAUUUGACAAUUAAUUUUUUUUUAAUUUAAAAGAAAUAAUUUAUGAAAUUAAAUAUUGAAUAAAAAAUUGAAUGAGAUAAAAAA